GAUGUAUCCACACUAGCUCGGUUGAUGGUUGAAACAACAAAACACACAUAUUUCCAGUUGGUAUAUCGCCUCAUUGAGUUGACACUCAUUCUUCCUAUGGCCACUUCAUCGGUUGAGGGAAUAUUUUCGGCAAUGAAGAUCAUCAAGACAGAUAUGCGCAACAAACUAUCAUAUGAUUGGCUAAAUGAUUUAAUAGUGUGCUACUGUGAGGUAGAGAUAUUCAAAAGCAUUCAUGAUGACCAAAAAACGAGGGAUCGGAAAGGACAUUGGCCUCAUGAGUUUAAUGUGAUUCCUUAUAUGUUAGUGUUACUAGUUUAA
RNAcentral lists this ribosomal RNA (318 nucleotides) under Triticum aestivum (bread wheat). RNAcentral describes it as "partial small subunit ribosomal RNA". The record is from RNAcentral. Lineage: Eukaryota; Viridiplantae; Streptophyta; Magnoliopsida; Poales; Poaceae.